CAUUGGGCGUAAAGGGUCCGCAGGUGGCGAAUAAAGUCUGCUGUUAAAGACCGGGGCUUAACUCCGGAAAGGCAGUGGAAACUGAUUAGCUAGAGUACGGUAGGGGUAGAGGGAAUUCUCAGUGUAGCGGUGAAAUGCGUAGAUAUUGGGAAGAACACCGGUGGCGAAAGCGCUCUACUAGGCCGAAACUGACACUGAGGGACGAAAGCUAGGGUAGCGAAAGGGAUUAGAUACCCCUGUAGUCUUAGCAGUAAACGAUGGAUACUAGGUGUAGCUUGUAUCGACCCGAGCUGUGCCGAAGCUAACGCGAUAAGUAUCCCGCCUGGGGAGUACGCACGCAAGUGUGAAACUCAAAGGAAUUGACGGGGGCCCGCACAAGCGGUGGAGUAUGUGGUUUAAUUCGAUGCAACGCGAAGAACCUUACCAGGGCUUGACAUGUCGCGAAUCUAGCGGAAACGUUAGUGUGCCUUAGGGAAUGCGAACACAGGUGGUGCAUGGCUGUCGUCAGCUCGUGUCGCGAGAUGUUGGGUUAAGUCCCGCAACGAGCGCAACCCUCGUCCUUAGUUGCCAAUAUUAAGUUAGGCACUCUAGGGAGACUGCCGGGGACAACUCGGAGGAAGGUGGGGAUGACGUCAAGUCAGCAUGCCCCUUAUGUCCUGGGCGACACACGUACUACAAUGGUUGGGACAAAGGGCAGCAAGCUCGCGAGAGUAAGCGAAUCUCAUCAAACCCAGCCACAGUUCAGAUUGCAGGCUGCAACUCGCCUGCAUGAAGUAGGAAUCGCUAGUAAUCGCAGGUCAGCAUACUGCGGUGAAUUCGUUCCCGGGCCUUGUACACACCGCCCGUCACACCAUGGAAGCUGGCUACGCCCGAAGUCGUUACCCUAACCCGGUUUUGGGAGGGGGAUGCCGAAGGUAGAGCUAGUGACUGGGGUGAAGUCGUAACAAGGUAGCCGUACCGGAAGGUGUGGCUGGAUCACCUCCUUU
This 986-nucleotide ribosomal RNA is filed under the name uncultured cyanobacterium. RNAcentral describes it as "bacterial SSU rRNA". It matches the Rfam family "Bacterial small subunit ribosomal RNA", at positions 552 to 1533 of the family's 1533-position model. The record is from RNAcentral. Lineage: Bacteria; Bacillati; Cyanobacteriota.